RNAcentral lists this ribosomal RNA (494 nucleotides) under uncultured bacterium. Its description in RNAcentral is "partial 16S ribosomal RNA". It matches the Rfam family "Bacterial small subunit ribosomal RNA", at positions 28 to 507 of the family's 1533-position model. The record is from RNAcentral.
GACGAACGCUGGCGGCGUGCUUAACACAUGCAAGUCGAACGGUGAAGCGCCUUCCUUUUUGGUGGGUGUGGAUGAGUGGCGAACGGGUGAGUAACACGUGAGUAACCUGCCCCCUUCUUCUGGAUAACCGCAUGAAAGUGUGGCUAAUACGGGAUAUUCUGUGUCUGUCGCAUGAUGGGUCUGGGAAAGAUAUUGUUUCGGUGGGGGAUGGGCUCGCGGCCUAUCAGCUUGUUGGUGGGGUGAUGGCCUACCAAGGCGGUGACGGGUAGCCGGCCUGAGAGGGUGGACGGUCACAAUGGGACUGAGACACGGCCCAGACUCCUACGGGAGGCAGCAGUGGGGAAUAUUGCACAAUGGGCGCAAGCCUGAUGCAGCGACGCCGCGUGAGGGAUGGAGGCCUGCGGGUUGUGAACCUCUUUCGCCAGUGAAGCAGGCCUGCCUCGUUUGUGGGUGGGUUGACGGUAGCUGGAUAAGAAGCGCCGGCUAACUACGUG